UGUCCGGCCCUUCAGGCAAAUUUUAGGACCCUAUGUGGCCCGCGAGCCAAAAAGUUUGCCCACCCCUGCCCUAGAUGAUGUAAAUGUCAAUCCGAUUUACAGCACGCAGGUGUCUACUGUCACUGUGGCCAUAGAAACCUGUGAGUUUGUCAGAAGUUUCUCAGGCAGAAGUGGACUAAAGCCAUUGCAACAGAUGAGCAGCUCUGACCUUUGACCCGGAAGUGCUUGACCGAGAACACAUCCUCCAUGUCGGGUAUGUCUGUGCGGCGCUCAAACAGCUUCAUGCUGCGGUUCCACUGGUACACCACAGGCCUCUGGGAGCUGCUGGACAAGAUCAGAUGACAGAGAGGUGAAAGGUUACCCGCGGUGAUGCAGUCAAAGGAGUGUGGUAGCAGGUCAUUGAUCUUCCUCCCCUGGUGAGAGGGCGGG
Molecule: long non-coding RNA, 429 nt
Organism: Boleophthalmus pectinirostris (great blue-spotted mudskipper)
Lineage: Eukaryota; Metazoa; Chordata; Actinopteri; Gobiiformes; Gobiidae
Exons: 3
Source: RefSeq, a predicted model, not a curated record